UAUCUUAAGAAAUAGCGUUAAAGCUUUUUUAUAGUAAUUAGCAAAAGAUUUUAUUGAAAGUGUUCGAAGUUAUAAAGAAUUAUUGGGAAAUUCUAUAAUUUAGAAGAUAUAAUGCUAAAAUUAGUAAGGAUAACAAAGAUUUUUUGGGUUUUAAUCAUUUCUAACCUUUGGAAGAGUAAAUUUUAUUAAUGAACGGGAAAAAGUUUUUUAUUAGUGUCUUCCAACUCAGGAAAUCAAUAAAAUUAUAAUUUGAGGAAAAGGAACUCGGCAAAAAAAAUUUNNNNNNNNNNNNNNNNNNNNCGCUCUUUGAAAAGACUAUCUAAAAUAUAAAGAGUACUGCCUGCCCAGUGACGUUAGUUCAACGGCCGCGGUAUCUUGACCGUGCAAAGGUAGCAUAAUCAUUUGCCUUUUAAAUGGAGGCUGGAAUGAAUGGCAAGACGAAAAUUUAACUGUCUCUUUCUCAACUAUCCUGAAAUUAAUUUCCUUGUGAAGAAGCGGGGAUAAAGUCGUGGGACGAGAAGACCCUAUUGAGCUUAAACAGAAAAUAUAAAUAUAUUUUUUUUAUUCUUAACUAAUAACUUACAAAAAUAUAAUUUUAUUAGGACUAAAGAUAGUGUUGUGUGUUCUAUGUUUUGGUUGGGGCAACCGCGGAGUAUAUUUAACCUCCGCUAAUAAAAAAGAAAAAGAUAUUUCUUUAAAAAAAUAAUUUGUCAAAAUGAUCCACUAUAAAAGUGAUCAAAGGAAAAAGUUACCAUAGGGAUAACAGCGUAAUUUUUUUGGAGAGUUCAUAUUGAUAAAAAAGUUUGCGACCUCGAUGUUGGAUCGGGAUUUCCUAGGGGUGUAGCAGCUUCUAAGGGUUGGUCUGUUCGACCAUUAAAAUCCU
RNAcentral lists this ribosomal RNA (883 nucleotides) under Tethyaster vestitus. RNAcentral describes it as "partial 16S ribosomal RNA". It matches the Rfam family "Bacterial large subunit ribosomal RNA", at positions 1428 to 2597 of the family's 2925-position model. The record is from RNAcentral. Lineage: Eukaryota; Metazoa; Echinodermata; Asteroidea; Paxillosida; Astropectinidae.